CAUGGCGGCAAGAAUAAAAGUUUUUAGGUUUGAACUUGUGAUGUCUCUUGCUCCAGGCAAGAAAUAUUCCUCUGAGCCCCAUCAUCUCAUGUUCAUUUGGGGAGACUGAGCCCCCCCAAAACUGAAAUCCAAGAACCGCCUCUGGGGAUGCCUGGUCUGCGGGUGUGAUUAGUGUGCCAGGGUGAUGUGUGUGGUAAAUGUCUGAGAUGAAUCCAGCCAUGAAAUUGAUCUGGGCUUUUGAGUGUUGCACUUGUCUUUAAGGGAAAAGACUACAGGAUAUUACUGAAGCAAUGAGAAGUAGCCUUCCUGUCAGCCAAGCCACUGCUGCAUGACACUGAGCAAGAUUUAAAUCACAGGCUUAAGUAAUGGGCAGCAAUAAGCUGCUCUUGCUGUCUGUCUCUGUAUAGCAAACAUGUAGGUGCUGUUUUCUUGCAGUCUUAACAACUUGAUUUGUGCAUUUCUAAAGUGAAUUUUACAAGUUAUAUUUUAUUUUA
Cyprinus carpio (common carp) is the source of this 494-nucleotide long non-coding RNA. Lineage: Eukaryota; Metazoa; Chordata; Actinopteri; Cypriniformes; Cyprinidae. The record is from Ensembl.